CCGUGAGGGUUGGGUUAAGUCCGCAACGACGCAUCCCUAUUGCUAGUUGCCAUCACAUAAUGGUGGGCACUCUAGUGAGACUGCCCGGGUCAACCGGGAGGAAGGUGGGGACGACGUCAAGUCAUCAUGGCCCUUACGUCCAGGGCUACACACGUACUACAAUGGUGGAUACAGAGGGUCGCGAAGCCGCGAGGUCGAGCCAAUCCCAGAAAAUCCAUCCCAGUCCGGAUCGCAGUCUGCAACUCGACUGUGUGAAGUUGGAAUCGCUAGUAAUCCCAGAUCAGCAUGCUGGGGUGAAUACGUUCCCGGGCCUUGUACACACCGCCCGUCACACCACGAAAGCUGGUUCUACCCAAAAUCGACGGACUAACCUUCGGGAGGUAGUCGCCUACGGUAGGGCUGGUAAUUGGGGUGAAGUCGUAACAAGGUACCA
RNAcentral lists this ribosomal RNA (433 nucleotides) under uncultured delta proteobacterium. RNAcentral's name for it is "bacterial SSU rRNA". It matches the Rfam family "Bacterial small subunit ribosomal RNA", at positions 1065 to 1501 of the family's 1533-position model. Lineage: Bacteria; Deltaproteobacteria. The record is from RNAcentral.